GAUGAACGCUGGCGGCGUGCUUAACACAUGCAAGUCGAACGAAGCACUUUAUUUGAUUUCCUUCGGGACUGAUUAUUUUGUGACUGAGUGGCGGACGGGUGAGUAACGCGUGGGUAACCUGCCUUGUACAGGGGGAUAACAGUUGGAAACGGCUGCUAAUACCGCAUAAGCGCACAGCAUCGCAUGAUGCAGUGUGAAAAACUCCGGUGGUAUAAGAUGGACCCGCGUUGGAUUAGCUAGUUGGUGAGGUAACGGCCCACCAAGGCGACGAUCCAUAGCCGACCUGAGAGGGUGACCGGCCACAUUGGGACUGAGACACGGCCCAAACUCCUACGGGAGGCAGCAGUGGGGAAUAUUGCACAAUGGGCGAAAGCCUGAUGCAGCGACGCCGCGUGAGCGAAGAAGUAUUUCGGUAUGUAAAACUCUAUCAGCAGGGAAGAUAAUGACGGUACCUGACGAAGAAGCACCGGCUAAAUACGUG
RNAcentral lists this ribosomal RNA (481 nucleotides) under uncultured bacterium. Its description in RNAcentral is "partial 16S ribosomal RNA". It matches the Rfam family "Bacterial small subunit ribosomal RNA", at positions 28 to 507 of the family's 1533-position model. The record is from RNAcentral.